GUGGGGAAUAUUGGACAAUGGGCGCAAGCCUGAUCCAGCCAUACCGCGUGGGUGAAGAAGGCCUUCGGGUUGUAAAGCCCUUUUGUUGGGAAAGAAAUCCUGUCGGUUAAUACCUGGCGGGGAUGACGGUACCCAAAGAAUAAGCACCGGCUAACUUCGUGCCAGCAGCCGCGGUAAUACGAAGGGUGCAAGCGUUACUCGGAAUUACUGGGCGUAAAGCGUGCGUAGGUGGUGGUUUAAGUCCGUUGUGAAAGCCCUGGGCUCAACCUGGGAAUUGAAGUGGAUACUGGAUCACUAGAGUGUGGUAGAGGGAUGCGGAAUUUCUGGUGUAGCAGUGAAAUGCGUAGAGAUCAGAAGGAACAUCCGUGGCGAAGGCGGCAUCCUGGGCCAACACUGACACUGAGGCACGAAAGCGUGGGGAGCAAACAGGAUUAGAUACCCCUGUAGUCC
Molecule: ribosomal RNA, 450 nt
Filed under: uncultured bacterium
Lineage: Bacteria
Description: partial 16S ribosomal RNA
Rfam family: Bacterial small subunit ribosomal RNA
Source: RNAcentral